Molecule: ribosomal RNA, 435 nt
Filed under: uncultured bacterium
Lineage: Bacteria
Description: bacterial SSU rRNA
Rfam family: Bacterial small subunit ribosomal RNA
Source: RNAcentral
UACGGAGGGCAGCAGUGGGGAAUAUUGCACAAUGGGCGAAAGCCUGAUGCAGCGACGCCGCGUGAGGGAUGACGGCCUUCGGGUUGUAAACCUCUUUCAGCAGGGAAGAAGCGAAAGUGACGGUACCUGCAGAAGAAGCGCCGGCUAACUACGUGCCAGCAGCCGCGGUAAUACGUAGGGCGCAAGCGUUGUCCGGAAUUAUUGGGCGUAAAGAGCUCGUAGGCGGCUUGUCACGUCGGGUGUGAAAGCCCGGGGCUUAACCCCGGGUCUGCAUCCGAUACGGGCAGGCUAGAGUGUGGUAGGGGAGAUCGGAAUUCCUGGUGUAGCGGUGAAAUGCGCAGAUAUCAGGAGGAACACCGGUGGCGAAGGCGGAUCUCUGGGCCAUUACUGACGCUGAGGAGCGAAAGCGUGGGGAGCGAACAGGGAUUAGAUACC